CCUACGGGGGGCAGCAGUGAGGAAUAUUGGUCAAUGGGCGCGAGCCUGAACCAGCCAAGUCGCGUGAGGGAAGACGGUCCUAUGGAUUGUAAACCUCUUUUGUCGGGGAGCAAAAGCCGCCACGCGUGGCGUUCCGCGAGUACCCGAAGAAAAAGCAUCGGCUAACUCCGCGCCAGCAGCCGCGGUAAUACGGAGGAUGCGAGCGUUAUCCGGAUUUAUUGGGUUUAAAGGGUGCGCAGGCGGAAGAUCAAGUCAGCGGUAAAAUUGAGAGGCUCAACCUCUUCGAGCCGUUGAAACUGGUUUUCUUGAGUGAGUGAGAAGUAUGCGGAAUGCGUGGUGUAGCGGUGAAAUGCAUAGAUAUCACGCAGAACUCCGAUUGCGAAGGCAGCAUACCGGCGCUCAACUGACGCUCAUGCACGAAAGUGUGGGGAUCGAACAGGAUUAGAUACCCCUGUAGUC
Molecule: ribosomal RNA, 459 nt
Filed under: uncultured bacterium
Lineage: Bacteria
Description: partial 16S ribosomal RNA
Rfam family: Bacterial small subunit ribosomal RNA
Source: RNAcentral